CUACGGGUGGCUGCAGUGGGGAAUAUUGGACAAUGGGCGCAAGCCUGAUCCAGCAAUGCCGCGUGAGUGAUGAAGGCCUUAGGGUUGUAAAGCUCUUUUACCCGGGAAGAUAAUGACUGUACCGGGAGAAUAAGCCCCGGCUAACUCCGUGCCAGCAGCCGCGGUAAUACGGAGGGGGCUAGCGUUGUUCGGAAUUACUGGGCGUAAAGCGCACGUAGGCGGCUUUGUAAGUUAGAGGUGAAAGCCCGGGGCUCAACCCCGGAACUGCCUUUAAGACUGCAUCGCUUGAACGUCGGAGAGGUGAGUGGAAUUCCGAGUGUAGAGGUGAAAUUCGUAGAUAUUCGGAAGAACACCAGUGGCGAAGGCGGCUCACUGGACGACUGUUGACGCUGAGGUGCGAAAGCGUGGGGAGCAAACAGGAUUAGAUACCCCCGUAGUC
RNAcentral lists this ribosomal RNA (439 nucleotides) under uncultured bacterium. Its description in RNAcentral is "partial 16S ribosomal RNA". It matches the Rfam family "Bacterial small subunit ribosomal RNA", at positions 339 to 795 of the family's 1533-position model. The record is from RNAcentral.